UACGUAGGGUGCGAGCGUUGUCCGGAAUUAUUGGGCGUAAAGAGCUUGUAGGCGGUUUGUCGCGUCUGCUGUGAAAACCCGGGGCUCAACCCCGGACUUGCAGUGGGUACGGGCAGACUAGAGUGUGGUAGGGGAGACUGGAAUUCCUGGUGUAGCGGUGAAAUGCGCAGAUAUCAGGAGGAACACCGAUGGCGAAGGCAGGUCUCUGGGCCACUACUGACGCUGAGAAGCGAAAGCAUGGGGAGCGAACAGG
RNAcentral lists this ribosomal RNA (253 nucleotides) under uncultured bacterium. RNAcentral describes it as "partial 16S ribosomal RNA". It matches the Rfam family "Bacterial small subunit ribosomal RNA", at positions 524 to 776 of the family's 1533-position model. The record is from RNAcentral.